RNAcentral lists this ribosomal RNA (851 nucleotides) under uncultured bacterium. RNAcentral's name for it is "bacterial SSU rRNA". It matches the Rfam family "Bacterial small subunit ribosomal RNA", at positions 59 to 873 of the family's 1533-position model. The record is from RNAcentral.
CAGUCGAACGAGUUCUCGUUGAUGAUCGGUGCUUGCACCGAGAUUCAACAUGGAACGAGUGGCGGACGGGUGAGUAACACGUGGGUAACCUGCCCUUAAGUGGGGGAUAACAUUUGGAAACAGAUGCUAAUACCGCAUAGAUCCAAGAACCGCAUGGUUCUUGGCUGAAAGAUGGCGUAAGCUAUCGCUUUUGGAUGGACCCGCGGCGUAUUAGCUAGUUGGUGAGGUAAUGGCUCACCAAGGCGAUGAUACGUAGCCGAACUGAGAGGUUGAUCGGCCACAUUGGGACUGAGACACGGCCCAAACUCCUACGGGAGGCAGCAGUAGGGAAGCUUCCACAAUGGACGCAAGUCUGAUGGAGCAACGCCGCGUGAGUGAAGAAGGCUUUCGGGUCGUAAAACUCUGUUGUUGGAGAAGAAUGGUCGGCAGAGUAACUGUUGUCGGCGUGACGGUAUCCAACCAGAAAGCCACGGCUAACUACGUGCCAGCAGCCGCGGUAAUACGUAGGUGGCAAGCGUUAUCCGGAUUUAUUGGGCGUAAAGCGAGCGCAGGCGGUUUUUCAAGUCUGAUGUGAAAGCCCUCGGCUUAACCGAGGAAGCGCAUCGGAAACUGGGAAACUUGAGUGCAGAAGAGGACAGUGGAACUCCAUGUGUAGCGGUGAAAUGCGUAGAUAUAUGGAAGAACACCAGUGGCGAAGGCGGCUGUCUGGUCUGUAACUGACGCUGAGGCUCGAAAGCAUGGGUAGCGAACAGGAUUAGAUACCCUGGUAGUCCAUGCCGUAGACGAUGAAUGCUAGGUGUUGGAGGGUUUCCGCCCUUCAGUGCCGCAGCUAACGCAUUAAGCAUUCCGCC